UGGGGAAUAUUGGGCAAUGGGCGAAAGCCUGACCCAGCAACGCCGCGUGAGUGAUGAAGGCCUUCGGGUUGUAAAACUCUUUGGACAGGGACGAAGAAAGUGACGGUACCUGUAGAACAAGCCACGGCUAACUACGUGCCAGCAGCCGCGGUAAUACGUAGGUGGCGAGCGUUAUCCGGAUUUACUGGGUGUAAAGGGAGCGUAGGCGGCAGUACAAGUCGGGAGUGAAAACUCGGGGCUCAACCCCGAGACUGCUCUCGAAACUGUACAGCUAGAGUGCAGGAAGGGCAGGCGGAAUUCCUGGUGUAGCGAUGAAAUGCGUAGAUAUCAGGAGGAACACCGGUGGCGAAGGCGGCCUGCUGGACUGUAACUGACGCUGAGGCUCGAAAGCGUGGGGAGCGAACAGG
Molecule: ribosomal RNA, 407 nt
Filed under: Verrucomicrobiota bacterium
Lineage: Bacteria; Pseudomonadati; Verrucomicrobiota
Description: Verrucomicrobia bacterium partial 16S ribosomal RNA
Rfam family: Bacterial small subunit ribosomal RNA
Source: RNAcentral